RNAcentral lists this ribosomal RNA (445 nucleotides) under uncultured bacterium. RNAcentral describes it as "partial 16S ribosomal RNA". It matches the Rfam family "Bacterial small subunit ribosomal RNA", at positions 354 to 796 of the family's 1533-position model. The record is from RNAcentral.
GUAAGGAAUAUUGGUCAAUGGACGAAAGUCUGAACCAGCCAUGCCGCGUGGAGGAUGAAGGUCCUCUGGAUUGUAAACUUCUUUUAUAUGGGACGAAAAUGGGGCUUUCUAGCUCAACUGACGGUACCAUAUGAAUAAGCACCGGCUAACUCCGUGCCAGCAGCCGCGGUAAGACGGAGGGUGCAAGCGUUAUCCGGCUUCACUGGGUGUAAAGGGUGCGUAGGUGGAUUGGUAAGUCAGAGGUGAAAUCUCAGGGCUCAACUCGGAAACUGCCUUUGAUACUAUCAAUCUUGAAUAGUGUGGAGGUUAGCGGAAUAUGUCAUGUAGCGGUGAAAUGCUUAGAUAUGACAUAGAACACCAAUUGCGAAGGCAGCUGGCUACACAUAUAUUGACACUGAGGCACGAAAGCGUGGGGAUCAAACAGGAUUAGAUACCCCUGUAGUCC